GGGUAUAGCUCAGUUGGUAGAGUAGCGGUCUCCAAAACCGUUGGUCGAGGGUUCGAGUCCUUCUGCCC
RNAcentral lists this transfer RNA (68 nucleotides) under pig gut metagenome. It matches the Rfam family "tRNA". Rfam says of the family: Transfer RNA (tRNA) molecules are approximately 80 nucleotides in length. Their secondary structure includes four short double-helical elements and three loops (D, anti-codon, and T loops). The record is from RNAcentral.